This 484-nucleotide ribosomal RNA is filed under the name uncultured bacterium. RNAcentral describes it as "partial 16S ribosomal RNA". It matches the Rfam family "Bacterial small subunit ribosomal RNA", at positions 29 to 507 of the family's 1533-position model. The record is from RNAcentral.
AUUGAACGCUGGCGGCAUGCUUUACACAUGCCAGUUGAACGGCAGCGCGGGCUUCGGCCUGGCGGCGAGUGGCGAACGGGUGAGUAAUACAUCGGAACGUGCCCAGUAGUGGGGGAUAGCUCGGCGAAAGCCGGAUUAAUACCGCAUACGACCUGAGGGUGAAAGCGGGGGAUCUUCGGACCUCGCGCUAUUGGAGCGGCCGAUGGCAGAUUAGCUAGUUGGUGGGGUAAAGGCCUACCAAGGCGACGAUCUGUAGCUGGUCUGAGAGGACGACCAGCCACACUGGGACUGAGACACGGCCCAGACUCCUACGGGAGGCAGCAGUGGGGAAUUUUGGACAAUGGGCGAAAGCCUGAUCCAGCAAUGCCGCGUGUGUGAUGAAGGCCUUCGGGUUGUAAAGCACUUUUGGCGGGAACGAAAAGGACUGUGCCAAUACCACGGUUCGAUGACGGUACCCGCAGAAUAAGCACCGGCUAACUACGUG